RNAcentral lists this ribosomal RNA (319 nucleotides) under uncultured Chloroflexota bacterium. RNAcentral describes it as "bacterial SSU rRNA". It matches the Rfam family "Bacterial small subunit ribosomal RNA", at positions 28 to 351 of the family's 1533-position model. Lineage: Bacteria; Bacillati; Chloroflexota. The record is from RNAcentral.
GAUAAACGCUGGCGGCAUGCCUAAUACAUGCAAGUCGAACGGGCCUAGCAAUAGGCCAGUGGCGAACGGGUGAGUAACACGUAAGUAACCGACCUCAAAAUCGAGGAUACCCUCUGGAAACGGAGGCUAAAACUGGAUAGGACGAGAGACUGUAAGGACUUUCGUUUAAAGGUGCAACUGCACUGUUUUGAGCCGGGCUUGCGGCGCAUUAGCUAGUUGGCGGGAUAAUAGCCCACCAAGGCGACGAUGCGUAGCUGCGCUGAGAGGCGGAACAGCCACACUGGGACUGAGACACGGCCCAGACUCCUACGGGUGGCAG